GAGGCCGCAGGGGCGCGUGGACACGGUGUGCUCCAAGCGGGGAAAAUGGUUGUUGUCCGAGUGAAAGAAAAAUGUGCUUAGGAGAGGAUUUCAUGCCUCGCCUUAGCCAGCGCAAUUCGUCUCGAGGUGACCAUUUAUUCCUGGCUCACAAGUUCGCAAGUCUGUGAAAAACAAUCCCAUCGCCCCGAGGAUACUUCAGGAUGGAGCGGAGGGCGAGAGUGCAGUUGUGUUCGUGAGAGCCCUCCCGAUGUGCUCCUAUUGUGCUUCUAUUGAAGAAUAAAAGGCUUCUGCCUCUCCAGACGAGAACUUGUCAGAUAUUUUAAGUCUGGUUUUCAGUCUUUUUUUUUUUUUUUUUUUUUGUAAAUGCUCUGGUAGAGACCAGAAGAAGGUGUCAGACGUCUGUCUUAGAAGUGGAGUUAAGAGUUGUGAGCUGGUGUUUUGGUUCUGGGACUCUGACACUAUCAACCAGCAAGCCAACUCUUCAGCUACGUAAGACUUCGGGAGAACCAGAGAUAUGGUGCCAGGCCUGCCAACUUGAGUUCAAUAGCAGAACCCACACAGUAGCAAAAGAACCAACUCUGACCUUCCCCUUCCCCCUCCCCAUCCUCUCCCCUCCCCUGCCCCUCCCCAGUAGUCACUCCAGAGACACCCAAAAUAAAAAUUUUAAAUGUAAA
This 674-nucleotide long non-coding RNA is filed under the name Mus pahari (shrew mouse). Its description in RNAcentral is "lncRNA (MGP_PahariEiJ_G0003492.1)". Lineage: Eukaryota; Metazoa; Chordata; Mammalia; Rodentia; Muridae. The record is from RNAcentral.